RNAcentral lists this ribosomal RNA (481 nucleotides) under uncultured bacterium. RNAcentral describes it as "bacterial SSU rRNA". It matches the Rfam family "Bacterial small subunit ribosomal RNA", at positions 31 to 507 of the family's 1533-position model. The record is from RNAcentral.
GAACGCUGGCGGCAUGCCUUACACAUGCAAGUCGAACGGCAGCACGGGAGCAAUCCUGGUGGCGAGUGGCGAACGGGUGAGUAAUAUAUCGGAACGUGCCCAGUCGUGGGGGAUAACGCAGCGAAAGUUGUGCUAAUACCGCAUACGAUCUAUGGAUGAAAGCGGGGGAUCGCAAGACCUCGCGCGAUUGGAGCGGCCGAUAUCAGAUUAGGUUGUUGGUGAGGUAAAAGCUCACCAAGCCUGCGAUCUGUAGCUGGUCUGAGAGGACGACCAGCCACACUGGAACUGAGACACGGUCCAGACUCCUACGGGAGGCAGCAGUGGGGAAUUUUGGACAAUGGACGCAAGUCUGAUCCAGCAAUGCCGCGUGCAGGACGAAGGCCUUCGGGUUGUAAACUGCUUUUGUACAGAACGAAAAAGUCUUUAAUAACACUAGAGGCUCAUGACGGUACUGUAAGAAUAAGCACCGGCUAACUACGUG